GACAGAAGGAAUAUAGAAAAAUUGUUGCUAUCAGUCCUCCCAGGAGACCUAUCCAGCCGGAAUUCUCAAUCAACAAGUUGUCUUGGUCUCAGAAGUCAAGAUGCAAGUUAUGGAUGCCAGAGAGAAAUUCUGCUCCUAUGGCCAAUGUGUUCCACACGCACUGAUGACUCCUGGCUGUCGUCAAGAGCAUCCCCACUUGUCCGGGAGAGCACUGCACUAUCCCCUGAGUGCCACUGGACAAUGGCCAGAGGAGCAACAGGACUAGCCACGAAGAGGCAGAGCCAGCCCUUGAACAGGUGGUCAGGCAGCACCACGUGGGAUCUUAGCAUCAGCGCUGUCCUUUAGUGAAAGCACACGUCUUGUCCACCCGAGUUCAUGGACUGGAUUGUUCUACCGCAGCCUCCACAGUGGCUACUCUGCUACCGUUUUCUCAUGCCUGCUGUGGUUGCAAGACUAUUUCAAGAUUACUAUGUAACAGAAGAAGACAAGAUGGAACAGAAGAAGACGCAAAUCCAAUAAGAUACAAUGCCACAAAGCUCAUUGUUCUGACUAAAAUCCACCUGUUUUUCUUCAAUAAACACUCCUCAAAUUCU
This is a long non-coding RNA of Suricata suricatta (meerkat), 593 nucleotides long. RefSeq lists it as uncharacterized. The transcript has 3 exons. The record is from RefSeq and is a predicted model, not a curated record. NCBI's taxonomy places the organism in Eukaryota, Metazoa, Chordata, Mammalia, Carnivora, Herpestidae.